GCCUCAGUAACUCAGCCUGGUAGAGUGCGAGUCUCAUGAGCUCGACGCCGCCGGUUCAAAUCCGGUCUGAGGCA
RNAcentral lists this transfer RNA (74 nucleotides) under Candidatus Woesearchaeota archaeon. Its description in RNAcentral is "tRNA-Met". It matches the Rfam family "tRNA". From Rfam's summary of the family: Transfer RNA (tRNA) molecules are approximately 80 nucleotides in length. Their secondary structure includes four short double-helical elements and three loops (D, anti-codon, and T loops). The record is from RNAcentral. Lineage: Archaea; Nanobdellati; Candidatus Woesearchaeota.